This 275-nucleotide ribosomal RNA is filed under the name uncultured bacterium. RNAcentral's name for it is "partial 16S ribosomal RNA". It matches the Rfam family "Bacterial small subunit ribosomal RNA", at positions 338 to 605 of the family's 1533-position model. The record is from RNAcentral.
CCUACGGGUGGCUGCAGUGGGGAAUUUUGGACAAUGGGGGCAACCCUGAUCCAGCCAUGCCGCGUGCGGGAAGAAGGCCUUCGGGUUGUAAACCGCUUUUGUCAGGGAAGAAAAGACUCCUACUAAUACUGGGGGUUCAUGACGGUACCUGAAGAAUAAGCACCGGCUAACUACGUGCCAGCAGCCGCGGUAAUACGUAGGGUGCAAGCGUUAAUCGGAAUUACUGGGCGUAAAGCGUGCGCAGGCGGUUAUGCAAGACAGAUGUGAAAUCCCCG